This is a long non-coding RNA of Lagopus muta (rock ptarmigan), 407 nucleotides long. RefSeq lists it as uncharacterized. The record is from RefSeq and is a predicted model, not a curated record. The transcript has 3 exons. Lineage: Eukaryota; Metazoa; Chordata; Aves; Galliformes; Phasianidae.
GUCAUUUAAGGGUUGGCAGUGGAGGCAAGGGUGUUUUGCUGGGGGUCCUAGUAUACCUGAGGCUUUCUGAAGGCUAGUGAGCAGUUGAACUGCAAACUCUUGGCUUUGAAAAGUUUAAGAACUUAUCAAGAUAUUGGGAACUCAUCCUCUGUAAAGAAUCAGAAUGAAGAAUGAGAAGCCCAGAAGCUAAGUUUGGUAUCUAUGCAGAUGGAAGUUCAUCUCAUCCUCUAUCGUCAGCCCAAAUGAGAACAAGACAUGGUAAUGUUGAAGUGUGGGAUAAAAGCACAUUAUUUACCUUUCCCUGAGGAAUGUUCAUUAUGAUAAUUUUGGCUCACACUGGCUCAGUUACAGUUGGAAGUAUAAACAUUAACGUAAUUGCAAUCUAAUUAAACAACAUUAAAAUAUGA